UGCGUGGGCGGUUUUAUAAGUCACUUGUAAAAGAUCUCAGCCCAACUGAGUAAGGCGAGUGAAACUGUAAGACUUGAAUACGGUAGAGGUAAGUGGAAUUCCAUGUGUAGCGGUGGAAUGCGUAGAUAUAUGGAGGAACACCAAUGGCGAAGGCAACUUACUGGGCCGGAAUUGACGCUGAGGCACGAAAGCGUGGGGAGCAAACAGGAUUAGAUACCCUGGUAGUCC
Molecule: ribosomal RNA, 228 nt
Filed under: uncultured bacterium
Lineage: Bacteria
Description: partial 16S ribosomal RNA
Rfam family: Bacterial small subunit ribosomal RNA
Source: RNAcentral